Molecule: ribosomal RNA, 407 nt
Filed under: Acanthamoeba sp. CHI5904
Lineage: Eukaryota; Discosea; Longamoebia; Acanthamoebidae
Description: SSU rRNA
Rfam family: Eukaryotic small subunit ribosomal RNA
Source: RNAcentral
UUUUCUGCCACCGAAUACAUUAGCAUGGGAUAAUGGAAUAGGACCCUGUCCUCCUAUUUUCAGUUGGUUUUGGCAGCGCGAGGACUAGGGUAAUGAUUAAUAGGGAUAGUUGGGGGCAUUAAUAUUUAAUUGUCAGAGGUGAAAUUCUUGGAUUUAUGAAAGAUUAACUUCUGCGAAAGCAUCUGCCAAGGAUGUUUUCAUUAAUCAAGAACGAAAGUUAGGGGAUCGAAGACGAUCAGAUACCGUCGUAGUCUUAACCAUAAACGAUGCCGACCAGCGAUUAGGAGACGUUGAAUACAAAACACCACCAUCGGCGCGGUCGUCCUUGGCGUUCGUGUUCACGCACGAGCGCGAGGGCGGCUUAGCCCGAUGGGACCGGUGAAUGACUCCCCUAGCAGCUUGUGAGA